Molecule: non-coding RNA, 28 nt
Filed under: Rattus norvegicus (Norway rat)
Lineage: Eukaryota; Metazoa; Chordata; Mammalia; Rodentia; Muridae
Source: RNAcentral
UGGGACUGAGAAUGAAUGAGUUGCUCUU